Non-coding RNA from Neolamprologus brichardi, 698 nucleotides. NCBI's taxonomy places the organism in Eukaryota, Metazoa, Chordata, Actinopteri, Cichliformes, Cichlidae. The record is from RefSeq and is a predicted model, not a curated record.
UUAUGAAACACUGAAUGAUUUCAAGCACACACUUUGUCGAAUAAACUUACAUCUUUCAUUCUUUAUACAGAUUGUGGAGCUGUGGUUUGUCAAAGAUCAGCUGUGAUUAUCUGGCAGCAGCUCUGAAGUCCAACCCUUCCCAUCUGAGAAUGAUGGACCUGGCUGGAAAUAACAUGCAGAAUCCAGAUGUUAAGCAGCUGUGUGAUCUUGAGGAGAGUCCAGACUACAGACUGGAGACUCUGAGGUGGAGGUGAUGAGGGUAAACAGGACGAUGUGCGUGCUGAGAGAGGAUGAGCUGUGUACUGAUGAUCCAGAGAGGUUGAAGCAGGAGCAGCUUGUGUGUAGAGACGCUCUGAGUGUGCCAUGUUACUGUGAGGUGGAGUGGAGAGGAGAGCUUCAUCUAGCAGUGACUGACAGAUGCAUGAGAAGAAGUGCAGAUGACUGUCAGUGCUGCAGAGUGAACUGCUCUGAGAACCGCUCCACUGUCAGACACAAUGUAGAGUCCAGCAUCAUCCUUGUGUGUCCCUCUGGAUCUGACAGAGGAUCAUCAGUGUAUCUGGACUCCUCUGCUGCUGCUCUGUCCUUCUAUAGUCUCUGCACAGUCUCUGUCUGACUUUGGCUUCAGACCCUCCUGGAUCAAACUGACCUGGAAAGGCUUUCCAUUAUGAAUAAUAAACAUAAUGUUUUUAAAGGAUAAA